Long non-coding RNA from Ochotona princeps (American pika), 448 nucleotides. RefSeq lists it as uncharacterized. The record is from RefSeq and is a predicted model, not a curated record. Lineage: Eukaryota; Metazoa; Chordata; Mammalia; Lagomorpha; Ochotonidae. The transcript is spliced from 3 exons.
GUGACUUUCCCAGAGUCGCAGCAUAAUGGCACUCACAUAAAGCAGACAACAGCACUUCGAAAGGUUUCUUGGAAAUCCAGGUCUACCAUGUAUGUCCACUUUCUUAUAACGAUCCCAAAUGCUGAAGAACAAAUUAUUUCCAAUUCAAAAUGCUAUGAAGCAAACAAACUGGAUGUCACAAAGCCCCAAGCUCACAUUUCAGGUUUUUCUUUCAAUCAUGGAAGCUCAACUAACCAUGCUUGGAGAGUAAGAGGUCCUAUGCCUGUAACUCAUUGAAUUCCCAUGAUAAAAACAUGCAAGCAACCAAAUGACCCAAAGGACUCUUCACUUGAGCCCAGCUAUUGUUUCCGGAGACCUCUGAGCCGAUGAUACCCGGGAGAUCUCUUGCUCCACCUUGCUUUGCUGGUCCACGGCCAUGCGGGUCAUGUCCUUCAUUUGGAAACCCAGA